Molecule: ribosomal RNA, 402 nt
Filed under: uncultured bacterium
Lineage: Bacteria
Description: bacterial SSU rRNA
Rfam family: Bacterial small subunit ribosomal RNA
Source: RNAcentral
AUUGAACGCUGGCGGCAUGCUUUACACAUGCAAGUCGAACGGCAGCACGGGAGCUUGCUCCUGGUGGCGAGUGGCGAACGGGUGAGUAAUGCAUCGGAACGUACCCAGUAGUGGGGGAUAGCCCGGCGAAAGCCGGAUUAAUACCGCAUAUUUCCUGAGGGAGAAAGCGGGGGGACCUUCGGGCCUCGCGCUACUGGAGCGGCUGAUGUCGGAUUAGCUAGUUGGUGAGGUAAAGGCUCACCAAGGCGACGAUCCGUAGCGGGUCUGAGAGGAUGAUCCGCCACACUGGGACUGAGACACGGCCCAGACUCCUACGGGAGGCAGCAGUGGGGAAUUUUGGACAAUGGGCGAAAGCCUGAUCCAGCCAUGCCGCGUGAGUGAAGAAGGCCUCGGUUGGUUAAA